Molecule: ribosomal RNA, 433 nt
Filed under: uncultured bacterium
Lineage: Bacteria
Description: partial 16S ribosomal RNA
Rfam family: Bacterial small subunit ribosomal RNA
Source: RNAcentral
AACGAACGCUGGCGGCAUGCCUAACACAUGCAAGUCGAACGAGACCUUCGGGUCUAGUGGCGCACGGGUGCGUAACGCGUGGGAACCUGCCCUUAGGUUCGGAAUAACUCCCCGAAAGGGGUGCUAAUACCGGAUAAUGUCUUCGGACCAAAGAUUUAUCGCCUUUGGAUGGACCCGCGUUGGAUUAGCUAGUUGGUAGAGUAAAAGCCUACCAAGGCGACGAUCCAUAGCUGGUCUGAGAGGAUGAUCAGCCACACUGGGACUGAGACACGGCCCAGACUCCUACGGGAGGCAGCAGUGGGGAAUAUUGGACAAUGGGCGAAAGCCUGAUCCAGCAAUGCCGCGUGAGUGAUGAAGGCCUUAGGGUUGUAAAGCUCUUUUACCCGGGAUGAUAAUGACAGUACCGGGAGAAUAAGCUCCGGCUAACUCCGUG